AGGUCAUGUGUGGCCACUGCCUCAAGUACCACGCUGCAACCUCCUUUGGCGUCUUUGUACAUUCCUUAUCAAGCAAAUGGACAGUUUUUUCAUUUCCAAUGCAUGCAGUCGAUACUUCCAAGCAUCCUAGGAAACCCUCUUUUUACAUUUUGUGCUAGGAUUCGAGCAAUGUUUUCAAUAUUAGGUGAUCGCAAAUAUUGAGGUCUAAAAACUGCCACCACUGCCCUGCAGAACUUGUAGAAACACUCAAUGAUGGUGGACUCGGCCAUGCGUCCUGGAGCGAGGUGAAUCCAAGUAUGCUGGAGCAAUCAUUUUUGUACUUGAAGUAGUUGUCGAACUCCCUGAUGGAAUUCACAAUCCCGAG
This 364-nucleotide long non-coding RNA is filed under the name Hordeum vulgare. RNAcentral describes it as "long non-coding RNA (HVUL_LNC018296)". The record is from RNAcentral. Lineage: Eukaryota; Viridiplantae; Streptophyta; Magnoliopsida; Poales; Poaceae.